RNAcentral lists this ribosomal RNA (350 nucleotides) under uncultured bacterium. RNAcentral describes it as "bacterial SSU rRNA". It matches the Rfam family "Bacterial small subunit ribosomal RNA", at positions 917 to 1268 of the family's 1533-position model. The record is from RNAcentral.
GGGCCCGCACAAGCGGUGGAACAUGUGGUUUAAUUCGACGCAACGCGCAAAACCUUACCUGGAUUUGACAUCCCGGGCUCACCUCAGAGAUGAGGUUUUCUCUUCGGAGACCCGGUGACAGGUGCUGCAUGGCUGUCGUCAGCUCGUGUCGUGAGAUGUUGGGUUAAGUCCCGCAACGAGCGCAACCCUUGUCCCUAGUUGCCAGCAUUGAGUUGGGCACUCUAGGGAGACUGCCGGUGAUAAGCCGGAGGAAGGUGGGGAUGACGUCAAGUCCUCAUGGCCUUUAUGUCCAGGGCUACACACGUGUUACAAUGGGGGUGACAAAGAGUGGCCAAGCUGCGAAGCUGCGC